AGGACGAACGCUGGCGGCGUGCUUAACACAUGCAAGUCACGGGGGGUCGCAAGACCAACCGGCGAACGGGUGCGUAACACGUGAGCAACCUACCGAUUUGAGGGGGAUAGCCGGCCCAACGGCCGGGUAAUACCGCAUACGCUUGUAAGGCCUCCUGGUCUAACAAGGAAACCUCCGGGGCAGAUCGAGGGGCUCGCGGCCUAUCAGCUAGUUGGUGAGGUUACGGCUCACCAAGGCGACGACGGGUAGCUGGUCUGAGAGGAUGGCCAGCCACAUUGGGACUGAGAAACGGCCCAGACUCCUACGGGAGGCAGCAGUGGGAAUCUUGCGCAAUGGACGAAAGUCUGACGCAGCGACGCCGCGUGGGGGAUGAAGGCUUUCGGGUUGUAAACCCCUGUUGCCCGGGACGAACUUCCUGUUUCGACAGGAUUGACGGUACCGGGUGAGGAAGCACCGGCUAACUCCGUGCCAGCAGCCGC
Molecule: ribosomal RNA, 479 nt
Filed under: uncultured bacterium
Lineage: Bacteria
Description: SSU rRNA
Rfam family: Bacterial small subunit ribosomal RNA
Source: RNAcentral